Molecule: long non-coding RNA, 447 nt
Organism: Telopea speciosissima
Lineage: Eukaryota; Viridiplantae; Streptophyta; Magnoliopsida; Proteales; Proteaceae
Exons: 3
Source: RefSeq, a predicted model, not a curated record
AGAUUAAGCAGACAGUUGAAGAACACACCAACACAUGAUUCCAUGAAUUACAUACCACAACAAAUCGCCCACUAGAUAAAAAAUGGUAGGUUUGAAAAGUAUGUAAUCUUGAUCGUUACUUUUGUAAACCCAUAGAGAAAAUGAACUUAUUACCAGAGAGAGAAAGAGAGAGCAUGUGAUUCCUAGACAUUACAAAUAAACAAUGCAUGAUUGUGGUUAGAUUAGUCUUUGGACACAUCAUACAUCUGUGACAUUUAAGGUUGUACCUUGUAAAUGUUCAACAGCAUCAUAUUCCAUGGAUGCAUCAAAAUUAGUAAAAAAUAUUGGAAAAAAGAGUCCUAUUUUUAUCUACUGUUUCUUUGCUGCAGGCACCUCCUGAAAUCUUCCAGAUGAGCCUCUUUUAGUAACAGACUUGAACAGAUACUCUGGCACAAGAUGUUAAAUGGU